CCUACGGGAGGCAGCAGUGGGGAAUCUUGCGCAAUGGGCGAAAGCCUGACGCAGCCAUGCCGCGUGAAUGAUGAAGGUCUUAGGAUUGUAAAAUUCUUUCACCGGGGACGAUAAUGACGGUACCCGGAGAAGAAGCCCCGGCUAACUUCGUGCCAGCAGCCGCGGUAAUACGAAGGGGGCUAGCGUUGCUCGGAAUUACUGGGCGUAAAGGGAGCGUAGGCGGAUAGUUAAGUCAGAGGUGAAAGCCCAGGGCUCAACCUUGGAAUUGCCUUUGAUACUGGCUAUCUUGAGUAUGGGAGAGGUAAGCGGAACUCCGAGUGUAGAGGUGAAAUUCGUAGAUAUUCGGAAGAACACCAGUGGCGAAGGCGGCUUACUGGCCCAUUACUGACGCUGAGGCUCGAAAGCGUGGGGAGCAAACAGGAUUAGAUACCCUGGUAGUCCACGCCGUAAACGAUGAGAGCUAGUUGUCGGCAUGCAUGCAUGUCGGUGACGCAGCUACGACAUAAGUACUCUCCGUCCGUCGGGUAGGUACGGUCGCGAAGAAUUAAAACUUAAAUUAAGUAAGUUAGACGGACGUGAGACGUGCCGACGGACGACGACGAGGGAGGUAGG
RNAcentral lists this ribosomal RNA (612 nucleotides) under uncultured bacterium. RNAcentral's name for it is "bacterial SSU rRNA". The stretch from base 1 to 518 matches the Rfam family "Bacterial small subunit ribosomal RNA", at positions 338 to 873 of the family's 1533-position model. The record is from RNAcentral.